AUAAAGUUUGAUUUUGGUUUUUAUAUUCGUUUUAUAAAUUUUUUGCAUGUAAAUUUUUGUAUGAAUUUAAUUUUAUUUAAAAAGUAAUGUUAUUAAGUUUUAAUUGCAGCAUUUAAUUUUAAUAAUUAAAUAAAUUUAGAAUUAUAAUUUAUAAGUAAAAUAGGUAAUUAAUGUGCCAGCAACUGCGGUUACACAUUUUAUUUAAGUGAAUAUUAUUUAAUUUAAAGUUUUUAAUUUAUUAAUUUAUAAAUUAAAUAGUAAAAUUUAAGUGAAAUUUUUUUUUAUUAAAAAAUUAUUAAAAAUUUUUUUAAGAACUUGUAAAUCUUAAUAAUAAACUAGGAUUAGAUACCCUAUUAUUUAAGACUUAAAAUAUUUUAAAAGAUUAAUAGGUAUGAUCUUAAAAUUUAAAAGAAUUGGCGGUAUUUAAAUCUAAUUAGGGGAAUUUGCUUUUAAAAUGAUAAUCCUCAAGUAACCUUACUUUAAUUUAUUUAAUUUAUUUAUUGUCGUUAACAGAAUAUUUUUUAAGAAUAAAAAUUUUCUAAUUUUUAAAAUUAAUUAAAGAUAUUUCAGAUCAUUAUGUAGUUUAUAUUAAAGUUAAAGUGAAUUACAAUAAAUUUUAUUUAUAAUGGAAAUUAAUUUGAAAUAAUUAAUAGAAAGUGGACUUAAUAGUAAAUUAAAAAUAAUUAUAUUUAAUUGAAUUUAGAUCUAAAUAUGUACAAAUUGCCCGUCGCUCUCAUUUUAAAAUGAGAUAAGUCGUAACAAAGUAGAGAUACUGGAAAGUGUUUCUAGAAGAUAAAUUAUUAU
Molecule: non-coding RNA, 804 nt
Filed under: Conaspidia wangi
Lineage: Eukaryota; Metazoa; Arthropoda; Insecta; Hymenoptera; Tenthredinidae
Source: RNAcentral